RNAcentral lists this ribosomal RNA (1432 nucleotides) under Cylindrospermopsis raciborskii CS-506_B. RNAcentral's name for it is "partial 23S ribosomal RNA". It matches the Rfam family "Bacterial large subunit ribosomal RNA", at positions 1 to 1446 of the family's 2925-position model. Lineage: Bacteria; Bacillati; Cyanobacteriota; Cyanophyceae; Nostocales; Aphanizomenonaceae. The record is from RNAcentral.
UAAAGCGAAUAAGGGCGUAUGGUGGAUGCCUUGGGUCUGAGAGGCGAUGAAGGACGUGGUAAGCUGCGAUAAGCUUCGGGGAGCUGCACACAAGCGUUAUAUCCGAAGAUUUCCGAAUGGGACAACCCAGCACACUGAAGGUGUGUUAUCCGAAAGGAAGCCAACCUCCUGAACUGAAACAUCUAAGUAGGGAGAGGAAAAGAAAAUAACAAUGAUUCCCUGAGUAGUGGCGAGCGAAACGGGAAGAGCCCAAACUUGAGCGGCGUGCCGCUUGAGGGUUGUAGGACUGCAUUUAGAAGCUCUCAUCAAACUGAAUCUUCUGGAAAGUUGAACCAUAGCAGGUGAUAGUCCUGUAGGUAGAAAUUGAGAGGGACGAGCAGUAUCCUGAGUACGGCGGGACCGGAGGAAUCCUGCCUGAAUCUGCCAGCACCAUCUGGUAAGGCUAAAUACUCCUCAGACACCGAUAGUGAACCAGUACCGUAAGGGAAAGGUGAAAAGAACCCCGAAACAGGGGAGUGAAAUAGUACCUGAAACCGUACGCUUACAAGCGGUCGGAGUCCAGCAAUGGAUGACGGCGUGCCUUUUGCAUAAUGAACCUACGAGUUACUCCUCACUGGCGAGGUUAAGUUCUUUAGUAACGGAGCCGAAGCGAAAGCGAGUCCGAACAGGGCGCUUAGUCAGUGGGGGUAGACGCGAAACUUUGUGAUCUAUCCAUGGGCAGGAUGAAGGAGGGGUAACACUCUCUGGAGGUCCGAACUCAUUAACGUUGAAAAGUUAUGGGAUGACCUGUGGAUAGGGGUGAAAGGCCAAUCAAACUGAGAGAUAGCUCGUUCUCCCCGAAAUGUUUUUAGGAACAGCCUCGGAUAUAAGAAGUGUGUAAGAGGUAGAGCUACUGAUUGGGCUAGGGGGCUUCACCGCCUACCAAACCCUGACAAACUCCGAAUGCUUACACAUAUCUCCGGGAGUGAGGCUGCGGGCGCUAAGGUCCGUGGCCGAGAGGGAAAUAACCCAGAUUAGCAACUAAGGUCCCUAAUACGUAGUUAAGUUGAACAAACGAGGUAGGACUUCUAUAACAGCCAGGAUGUUUGCUUGGAAGCAGCAAUUCAUUUAAAGAGUGCGUAACAGCUCACUGGUCGAGAGGUCCCGCACGGAAAAUGAUCGGGCAUCAAACUACGAACCGAAGUUCUAAAAUUACUACCAUGUAGUUAAUUGGUAGGGGAGCAUUGAAAUCUGCUGCGAAGGUGUCUGGUGAUGGAUGCUGGAGCGAUUUCAAAAGAAAAUGUAGGUAUGAGUAGCGAUAAAAGUAGUGAAAAACUACUUCGCCGUAAGUCCAAGGUUUCCUGAUCAACGUUAAUCGGAUCAGGGUUAGUCGGGUCCUUAGGCAAACCCGAAAGGGGUAGUCGAUGGAAAGUUGGUUAAUAUUCCAACACUU